This is a non-coding RNA of Paramuricea clavata, 296 nucleotides long. The record is from the annotation of a GenBank genome assembly. NCBI's taxonomy places the organism in Eukaryota, Metazoa, Cnidaria, Anthozoa, Malacalcyonacea, Plexauridae.
GUUUUUAUGUUGAUUUCAUAGCGGAACUUGACUUUAUAAUGAAUCCUCUUUGAUUAAAUACAAUACGUAUCUUGUUACUUUCGGGUUUGUUUUAGUAAGCAGGAACAAUUAGCCAUUGUUUACAAAAGCGAAUUAUGGAAAUAAUUUGAGUAAUUGAGAGCAGCUGCGACGUAUCAUGCAAAUGAAUUAAGGUGUUCCGGUUAAAUGAGUAUGAGAAUUGCGAUUAAGUUGCGUCUUAAUAUUUCGAUGCGUGUGCACUAUAUAGAUAAACUGUACUAUAUGGUCGUAAAAAACAU